CCAGGCAAUGUGAUUAUUCACCAGAUGACAGAGGAAAAUAUUGACUAACUUGCUCAAGGUCGUAGUGAGCUAAUGACCAAGCUGGGAUUCAAUGCCCAUCUGACAGAUGUCAAAGUCCUGGAGAGUCUCACUGCACCUUUCUGACUCACUGAACUCACACAGGGCCCUGUUGUGGUGGGGACUGACACGGAAGUGCCCAGGAAGUGAGGAAGUUGGACUUCCAGGAAGGGCAGGAUUAGAGAGGUUUUGGAUGCUGAUAUGCAAAGGGAGUGACAAUGAGCAGCCUUUAAGAAGCCUCCUUGGGUAUCUAGCGUCCAGCCGCUCUUGUCUGGUUCAGGGAGCCAGUGCCGGUGUCAGUCUGUGACGCUGACUGCAGAAGAUACAGCCACACUUGGCCCCAGGCGAAAACUGCAUCACCUGGAGACCUGGCCCCUCUGAGCCACUCCCAGUCACCAGAGGGACUCGGCUCUGACCAUGGAUGACGGCUGGAUGGUAGGACUUGGGCUUUGGCACAGUUCUGACCAAAGGGUAAGCACUGUGCUUUUGGAGAGAAUGGACCUCUGGCGGGGACCCAGGACCGACACCCGGCCUCCUGUAGGGCCAUGACUAAGCCAGCUUUCUUUCAUUCCAUCACCCGAAGGUCCUGGAUGAGUGUGUUGGAAUCCGCCCACCGAGCUUCUCCUCCUCUUCCUUCUCCUUAGAGUGUGGCAUUUGGAACUGGACACUCAGGCCAAGCUGUCACCUGACGGCUGGCAUCAGAAUUAGUGGGGACUGAACUGCAGCCGGAGACCCCGUGCAAAGCAGGCAGGGUACAAAAACCUAGUGUCCUCGAGGACACAGCAGGAUUCAAAUGAGGAAGGGUAUAAACCAAAGACAUUCCACUCAGAAAAGAAAUAAAGGGGAUGAUAAAUUCCCAAAAUGGUUCUCAGCCUCACUCCCACAAAAAUUCAAACAAUAAAGCACUUUUUAAAUCUUGGUGAAGUUUGGUAACACCAAUCUUUAAGAUAGUGUAGAGACAGCACUCCUUCCCUGUCAGUGGACCACAAGUGAAAACAUCCUUUCUAUAGAGCUUUUCGGAAUCAUCCGUGAUGCAUGUACACUUUGGCCCAGUGGUUGUGUUUUGGGGAGUUUUUCAGAUAGGUGGAGUCACACAAACGCACAAGAUAUCAGGCAAGAAAGUACAUUGCAACAUUUUUCUUACAAUAGCAAAAAACUGGAAGAAUUUUGAUGCCCAUGAAUAGGGAAUAUCAGGCAAACAUUUUUAAAGAUGUACAAACUAUCCUUAGCAAAAGAGUGAAUGGUUGAAUAGCAGAUAUAGUAUGAGCUUUUUGUAUAAAACAACAAAUGCAUACAUGCAUUUGCGCAUCUGUGUGUGUCUUCAUGCUCUGUAUGCUUCUGCAGGGAUGCAAAGGUCUAAAACGUACAUAUAUAAUAAUAAUAGUUGCUAAUAAUAGUGAGACUUAGAGUGGGAAUACUGGUGUGGGAAAGAGUUUUAAAUUUUUACUUUAUCACUUAUAUACAACUUGAAUAUUUUUUAAAUGAAUAUUAUUUCUUUUAUAAUUCAAAUAAGGUUCAAGUAAAUAAUAAGGAAGUUAAAUAAAUAAGAAUAACCGAUACUAGGAAGUGGUGUCAAUAUUCUCUCCAAAGCAUCAAAGGCACUAACAAUAAUCUCAAUAAUAAUAGCACACACUUAGAUAGCCUUCCUUUG
Long non-coding RNA from Heterocephalus glaber (naked mole-rat), 1708 nucleotides. NCBI's taxonomy places the organism in Eukaryota, Metazoa, Chordata, Mammalia, Rodentia, Bathyergidae. The record is from Ensembl.